Unclassified non-coding RNA from Copidosoma floridanum, 1685 nucleotides. The record is from RefSeq and is a predicted model, not a curated record. NCBI's taxonomy places the organism in Eukaryota, Metazoa, Arthropoda, Insecta, Hymenoptera, Encyrtidae.
UCUUGAUUCUUGGUGUGUUGCAAUUUUUGCAACUAAAUAAGUAUUUCUGUUGUACUACUAAGUAUACCUACCUACUGUGCAUUUACUUUACGUUGCACCUACUGAGUAUAAGGAUGCAUGAGAGAAGAGAGAAUACUUAAGCCCUCCAAAGAGGGCGAAAAUAUUGCGUGAGGCUAUUAGUAUACUACAAUCUGAACACACCGUAACAUACCGAGGUGAAAAAAAGUUACGGAAUACUUACCACCCCCCCCCCCUGCGUGAGCGCAUAUCGAAAGAAGACUGUUCUUCCUCCAGCUGGCCUUGGGGGAUCUUAAGAAGACAUCGUAAUUCGUAAUACAAGUGCAGCGUUUCAGUGUGUUAUACUGUAUAACAUACAAUCUACGUGAGCCCUAUCAUAUGCAGGGAGGGUGAGAGAAGAAGAGUCAAUCGAGCCGAGGGGAGUUGGACGUAGACUUACAGAGUGCUAUUCUCCAAUUUUUGACUCCAGAUUUAUUUUUUCUAAAUGAACACCUAGUUUAUUCGAGAAUGAAAGGUUGUUUAAUUGACUUCUGCUAAAUCCGACAGGGUCGAAUGUGAUGUUUUUUCUCUCUAAAUUUCAUCGUUUGUAUGGGAAUGUGUUAAUUGAACAGUAAUAAUCGAUCAACUUAAUUAACCGUGCAAGAGAAGCUGAUGUUUUAGUGGAUGGUGCCUUGGAAAGCAAUUGAAUUCUACUUAUGUCUCUGCCUAAAUGCAUCCUGAUCCAAGCACGAGUUGAUAGAAUCAUAGAAGCACAGGAUGUCUUCUGUCACUUUUUCGCAAAAGAAAUUUAUACCAGUACCUCCUGAAAAGGGUAGCUUUCCUCUGGAUCACGAAGGUCUCUGUCGCAAUCUUAUGGUCAAGUACAUGCGCUGUCUUUAUGAAAAUAAGAACGUUUCCUCCAACUGCAGAGAUAUAAGUAAAGAUUAUCUUGCGUGUCGUAUGGAAAAUGGAUUAAUGGCCCAAGAAGACUGGACAAAGCUCGGAUUCAACGAACAAGAAAUUGAAAAACAAAAGGAGCAAUGAGAAAGGUUUUCCGUCUUCGUCGUAGAGUGGAUUACCUGGAAUUGGCCUCAGCUGCAGAACAAAGAAAUUCUUCAAAAACCAUUAUCCUGGGUUCUCUUUGAUGUAUCAACGACGAGACGAGCACACACGUUUCAAUCCUAACGGAUCCUGAACAGAUUAAGUUACGCGAUCUCGUGUUUUAUAUGAAUAUAUACAAACAAUAUAUAUUUACAUACAAAAAUAUAUAUAUACAUUAAAUAGAGGAAAAUAUCAGUAAUAUUAAAAUAAAUAUAUGUAUACAAACAGAUAAAAUUAUAUGUAUACAAACGUUAAUGGGGUGUGUGUCGUUGAAAACGGCUUGAAAGCUCGUGCUAGCCACGGUUUAAAAAACUGAAUUUUCGAUAAAAUUAACAUAUCAUUUAAAAAAAAAAACUAAAGUUUACAAUAACUCACGCUUGAAACAAAAACUACAGUCUAACCGAUACGUUAUUAUUGUUAAAAUCCAUCGCAUAAUUCAUGUAUAAAAGCUUCAGCCAAGAAAAAUAAAUCAUUUACAUAAAUUGAAAAAACAAUACUCAUAGCUUUCGCAUAUUUCUCCUGCUGUCGUGAGUAGCGUUGGGAUUUCAAUUAAAACCUUAAAAAAAAAAAAAAAAAAAAAAAAAAAA